Long non-coding RNA from Helianthus annuus (common sunflower), 3292 nucleotides. RefSeq lists it as uncharacterized. The transcript has 3 exons. The record is from RefSeq and is a predicted model, not a curated record. NCBI's taxonomy places the organism in Eukaryota, Viridiplantae, Streptophyta, Magnoliopsida, Asterales, Asteraceae.
AUGUACAUUAGUUUUUCUUAUUUUUUCGGUUAGUUUGUUAGUAUCACACAGUUAAGUUUUCAGCCCGGAUUUGAGCCACUGUCAGUGUUGACACCAACUCUAGUGUGUGCCACUGAUUGGUGGCGGGCUAGCUUUCAUUUUUUGGGCAACUAUGAUAAUGAUUCUUCAACAUGUAGGCUACGGAAUACUAGGGAUGAUAUCUUGGGAGAAGUCCUUUUGAGUCUAUUUGAAUUUCUGCAGGGGCAACACUUUGGUUUCAGUAGUUUGUUAAAAGGUGAUUCAAUUCUAUAGUUAAUAAUGGUUGCUAAAUGCUAAAUUUUGAUGAGCUAUGUUUUAUCUUUUGACAAAAAUGCAAAUUUUGUGAAAAGUGGAAACUAUACAUGUCUCACUUUUAGUUAUAAUUUUUUUUUACAAAUAUUGGUAUUGCUCUAUUUUUUAUGUACUAAACUAAGUUAUACUAUCACGUAAAGAUGCAUUGAAUAUUGAUGUCACAUAAAGUUCUACCAAGUUAUAAACAUCACUCGAGAAACUAAUCUUAAUUAUUGUCAUUAUUUAUUAUUAAUCCACAAUGUAUUGGUUAUUGUAUUAUAUAUGUUGACAUUUAGUUAUCGAUGUUGUGAUUGUCAUUCAUAACCUAACAUAAAGCGGAACAAUUUAUAAUCUAAUAGACGAGUAUAAUGAUGUAAAUUAUCGACUCCGUCGCAACGCGCGAGUUUCCCACUAUAUAUAUAUACACAUGUAUUUUCUUUGGGCCUAGCCCACAUCAUUGUGUUAUUGGGCUUAAACCAAGUAUUUAUGUCAUUGGGCCUAGCCCAUGCCUUUAAGUUAUUGGGCCUAGCCCAUAUUCUUAUUGUAUUUGGGCCUAGCCCAAAUUCUUUAUUAUAAAUGGGCUUUUUCAUAAGUGUUUAUUGUAAUGGGACAUGCCCAUGUAUUUAGGAGAUUGGGCCUAGCCCAAUAUUUAUUAUUUAAGCCCAAGUUUUGUGUUCUUGAAUUUUUUGUAACCUUUACUAAGUAUAGAUUACUUAAUUAAACAUUCUAGUAACUUGUAUAAUUAUCCUUCGUGUCGUUUACAUAUUAAACUUUCCGGUUUUCAUUGUCGUUAGUAUAUAUAAAUUACGUGUCCAGAAAUAUUUUAUUUUUAGACUUGUCGUCGUAAUCGGUUAAUAUGUAACUUUUGUGUCGAAGUUGUCCAAAUGUCGUAGUAACUUCUCGUGGUGCCGACACUUCCGUUUCUUCGAUGAAACAUACAUUGUUAUUUUGUCGACACAUAUAUGGUUAUGAAAAGUGUCGUCCGAUGUUCGUCGUCCGGUGUCUGCGUCUUGUUUUAUGAUAUCUCAUAAGUGUGUGUUUUAAGUGUUUGCGAAGGUUCGCGACUGUCGUCAUACUUGGAAAUGUUCGUGAAGUUUUUGGUUAUGGUGUAAGUGUAUAUUCUUCAUGUGUAUUGUACAUAAUAUUUUAGUAUGUAUUCCUAGCACUAAUACAUACACAUAUUAUACAAAUGUUAUACACCAAAUAAAGUAUACAAACUAUAUAAUUUUUACCACAAUUAUAUAAACAUACACCUAUUAUUUUUACCUAUUUAUUUAGUAAAAAUAUAUGUGUGAGUUUAUAAAAACUCUUGGGUGAUUAGGGCUUAACCCUUUUCGUUAAAAUUCCUUAAUGAUAAUUAAGGUUACUAAUCACGUUUAACCCUCUUAAUCACCCCGCUAAUCUUAAUUUAAUCGUGAUUAGAUUUUUAGAAAAUUUCGCCAUAGUUUCCCCUAAACUAUGGUGUUUUCCCACGUUCAAAAUGCGUUUAAAACAAUUUUUCAAUUUCCAAUCAUCAUCAAUUUACUAAUCUCUUGAAAAUACAUUUUCAAGUAACAAAUACUACAAUUUACUUCCAUACUUCAUGAGCUUUUAUACAUUAAAUUUCCUAAAAGUUUCAAGGCAUUUAUGUCUUAAAAAGUUAAGACUUUUUGAGUGUAAUUUUUAUAACCAUUUUUUAGAUCACUUGUUUUAUUUAAAAACCAAGCUUAUCUAUAUAACUAUAUAUAAAGCAAAUGUGGUGUACAAGCAUGUAAUUUUACAUCGUGUCCAACACUUAAAGCGAUAUUUACAACCAAUGAAUACUUGUUUGUGAGGGUAAAAUUGAAAUGAGUGUAAAAUUUUAAGACACUAUAAGGGUAUAACAGUAAAUUACACCUACACCCUAUACUCACACACUCAAAAUCCUUUCCAGCCCUGCCCUCAAGAAACCCAAUCGACAUCCUCAUAUCCUAUCCUGCUCCGCCCCCUCUUUCAUAUUCCUUUAAAUGAAUUCAUAAUGGAAACCCCUACAUCUACCCCUUUCACAUUCACUGCUUCAUCAAGAGACAGAGAGAGAUCGAGCAACCCACCAUAGUUUCCUCUCUGGAUCUUUGAAUUCCUGGAAUGGUCGCUCACGAUUUCUUACUCUUUGUGUGGUUGCAAUCUGUGGGAAAAAAGAUACAGAUGAAGAUGGAGCGAGGGAAAUCAAAUUCACUGGCAAUAAUACUGGAGAAGUUUGAAUCUAUUAAUUCGUAAUGAUUCAUGAAUUGGGUUAUGUUGUGGAACGUCAUGAGUAUAUGGGAAGCUUUUCUCGAUUUCCUUGGAAGUUACAUACUCCCAGACAUUCGAUUUAUGCAUCAAUUGUGCUUCUAUUUUGUUUUAAUUUGGAUGUCUGGCUGUAUUGGGCUGAUUGCUUCUUCUAUUUUGCUUUUGAUUGAUUUUGGACAAGAGGCAGAAGAAGACCCUGAACAACUCUUAAGAAGAAGGUAUGGUAACUCCGUUGGUUCUCUCAUCUCUGUAGAUGUUGUCAAGCUCGAGGGUUUGAGAACUCUUUGUGGCUCAAAAUGGGUUGGAUUGGGUUGACCCGCUAUAAGUUUUUUCCCCAUUCUAUUUUAUAACUAAGACGAAGCCAUAAAGAGGCAAAAACUUAAAGUCGUGUCUGAUUUAAUGAACUGAUUUGUAAAAAUUGUAAUUUCGGCAAAGGUGAUGAAUUGAUUGGCGACAAAUCAGAUUCUGGUCAAGACUAGGGUUUCGACGAAUACUUCGGUAAGGCUGUCAGUUGCAUGGUUCUAUUUUUGUUUACAUUGGUAACGUCAAGGAUGUUUGGCUUCUGUUUCAGUGCCUUGCAAUUACUCUGGCUACGAGCUUGGGCGCAACAGAGGUGACAGAGACGUUAUGGUCUUCCUAUGGGAUAAUGAUGGUGGCCUGAUUAGAAUAAGCUUUGUAUUUACCCCUUAUAAUAAUCUGAUAUGCUGAUUAAAAUAAUUAAGAAAGCUUUAUACAU